Molecule: unclassified non-coding RNA, 250 nt
Filed under: Rudbeckia californica
Lineage: Eukaryota; Viridiplantae; Streptophyta; Magnoliopsida; Asterales; Asteraceae
Description: ITS1
Source: RNAcentral
UCGAACCCUGCAUAGCAUAACACCCGUGAACAAGUAAAAAUAGCCGGCCUUUUGUGGCUUGAAGCAUCUGUUUCGAGCCUCAUGAGGCCUUGUUGACGUGUGUUCAUGUUUGCCCCAUGGGGUAUCAUGGAUGUCAAGUUGACAAACUAACAACCCCCGGCACGGCAUGUGCCAAGGAUAACAAAACUUGAAGGGCCCGUGCUUUACGCCCCGUUUGCGGUGUGCGCAUUGNNUGUGGCUUCUUAAACUU